GAUGAAGAACGUAGCGAAAUGCGAUAAGUAGUGUGAAUUGCAGAAUUCAGUGAAUCAUCGAAUCUUUGAACGCACAUUGCGCCCCUUGGUAUUCCAUGGGGCAUGCCUGUUCGAGCGUCAUUUGUACCUUCAAGCUUUGCUUGGUGUUGGGUGUUUGUCUCGCCUUUGCGUGUAGACUCGCCUUAAAAUAAUUGGCAGCCGGCGUAUUGAUUUCGGAGCGCAGUACAUCUCGCGCUUUGCACUCAUAACGACAGCGUCCAAAAGUACAUUUUACACUCUUGACCUCGGAUCAGGUAGGAAUACCCGCUGAACUUAAGCAUAUCAAUAAGCGGAGGA
Molecule: unclassified non-coding RNA, 336 nt
Filed under: soil metagenome
Description: partial contains 5.8S ribosomal RNA, internal transcribed spacer 2, and large subunit ribosomal RNA
Rfam family: 5.8S ribosomal RNA (bases 1-120)
Source: RNAcentral